Molecule: long non-coding RNA, 725 nt
Organism: Manis javanica (Malayan pangolin)
Lineage: Eukaryota; Metazoa; Chordata; Mammalia; Pholidota; Manidae
Source: RefSeq, a predicted model, not a curated record
UGCUGUGCAAUGCCUGUGCGCAUGCGGUGCUGGGCCAUGUGCCCGUGAAGGGGCAGCCUGGUGCAUAGAGGGGCUGUGCAACAGAAAGGGCCCUGCUGUCAGCGCUGUUCGCUUCCAUUGAAUAAGGAGAAGAAACAUUUUCUGUGUGGGUGUCAGCUGGGAACGCCAGCCUCCCAGCACUUGGGAAUACCCGCUGAUCCUCCCGCAGGCAGAGAAACAGCCAUUGUUCCCAGUUCAUCACACGGCAACCCAGAGGAAGUCCCUGGAAUCACUGGUUUGACAGCCCUGCUUGUGACCUUGCAUUCCUAGCCAUGCUGUGCUCCCUGUCCACACUCCUGGCAUCACUAUCUGCCAGUCCAUGGCUGCUCUCCCAGAAGACAUCCUCCCCCCUCUGGAAGCAGAAGAAUGGUCAGAGCUUCACUGAGAAGGUGACAUUUGAGAAAAAGCCUGAAGGACAUGAGGAGUGAGGCAGGGCCAAUGCACCUUAUAGCCUUAUCCAUAAAGGCUGUGGGUAAAAUUGUAAUUUCCAGAUAUCUCGCCUGGCUUUAGUACAUCUGCAUAUCAACAGGUGUUCAGAGGUGGAAAGAAGUAUGGCUUCCAUUUUGCAGAUGAAGAAAACAGGGAGAGCUUCUAUGCUUGGAAAACCAAACCACCUCCACAUGCCAUGGAGCCAGGCCCUCAGCUCCAGAAGGAUAGAAGCCCCAUUUUUUGGGACCUUGCCCUUU